UCCCACACCUCCUUCAGCUUCUGCUGUUUCAUCCUGCUGCCAACACUGGCAAGGACCCACCACUGUUAAUUUCCAUCAGCUAUUUCUUCAUCUGCAGACCUGGCUCCAGCUCUAAGAAGAUGAAAGCCUCACAGACAGCCUUCCUGGAGAGUUGAAUCCUCAGCAUGACAGAAGUCCAACAGCAGUGCAGGCAAAGCACGGGAAAGCUGCCUCCAGCCCCAGGGGAAUGGGAACUCGGACCCUCACUGCUGGCAGGGAUCAACAAGAUGAAAGGGGAAUGGAGCAGCAGCUGAA
This is a long non-coding RNA of Tyto alba (common barn owl), 294 nucleotides long. RefSeq lists it as uncharacterized. The transcript is spliced from 3 exons. Lineage: Eukaryota; Metazoa; Chordata; Aves; Strigiformes; Tytonidae. The record is from RefSeq and is a predicted model, not a curated record.